CCUACGGGAGGCAGCAGUGGGGAAUAUUGCACAAUGGGCGAAAGCCUGAUGCAGCGACGCCGCGUGAGGGAUGACGGCCUUCGGGUUGUAAACCUCUUUCAGCAGGGAAGAAGCGAAAGUGACGGUACCUGCAGAAGAAGCGCCGGCUAACUACGUGCCAGCAGCCGCGGUAAUACGUAGGGCGCAAGCGUUGUCCGGAAUUAUUGGGCGUAAAGAGCUCGUAGGCGGCUUGUCACGUCGGAUGUGAAAGCCCGAGGCUUAACCUCGGGUCUGCAUUCGAUACGGGCUAGCUAGAGUGUGGUAGGGGAGAUCGGAAUUCCUGGUGUAGCGGUGAAAUGCGCAGAUAUCAGGAGGAACACCGGUGGCGAAGGCGGAUCUCUGGGCCAUUACUGACGCUGAGGAGCGAAAGCGUGGGGAGCGAACAGGAUUAGAUACCCUGGUAGUCCACGCCGUAAACGUUGGGAACUAGGUGUUGGCGACAUUCCACGUCGUCGGUGCCGCAGCUAACGCAUUAAGUUCCCCGCCUGGGGAGUACGGCCGCAAGGCUAAAACUCAAAGAGUAGUGGACCGUGNGAGACGCGACGACGACGACGACGGAGGAGGAG
This 605-nucleotide ribosomal RNA is filed under the name uncultured bacterium. RNAcentral describes it as "bacterial SSU rRNA". It matches the Rfam family "Bacterial small subunit ribosomal RNA", at positions 338 to 1331 of the family's 1533-position model. The record is from RNAcentral.